Molecule: ribosomal RNA, 253 nt
Filed under: uncultured bacterium
Lineage: Bacteria
Description: partial 16S ribosomal RNA
Rfam family: Bacterial small subunit ribosomal RNA
Source: RNAcentral
UACGUAGGUGUCAAGCGUUGUCCGGAUUUAUUGGGCGUAAAGAGCUCGUAGGCGGCUUGUCGCGUCGGCUGUGAAAACCCGCGGCUCAACUGUGGGCGGGCAGCUGAUACGGGCAGGCUGGAGUACUGCAGGGGAGACUGGAAUUCCUGGUGUAGCGGUGGAAUGCGCAGAUAUCAGGAGGAACACCGGUGGCGAAGGCGGGUCUCUGGGCAGUAACUGACGCUGAGGAGCGAAAGCGUGGGGAGCGAACAGG